Long non-coding RNA from Beta vulgaris subsp. vulgaris (sugar beet), 815 nucleotides. RefSeq lists it as uncharacterized. The record is from RefSeq and is a predicted model, not a curated record. Lineage: Eukaryota; Viridiplantae; Streptophyta; Magnoliopsida; Caryophyllales; Amaranthaceae. The transcript has 2 exons.
UCUGGCUCGGUACAAUUCUCUGGCACGGCAACAAUCCUUGUCGGUGCUGAAUGGCACAAAAUUUCUCGAUCUGGGCAAACGUCUCCAAAGUGAAUAUUGUUUGGCCAGAAAGAGGGCCAAAUCUUAUGGCCAUACAGAUAUGGAAGAUGUAUUAUUCAACCCUUGUCCUAAUUGCCAGAGGAGGAUCCUUGUCUUCCCAAAACAUCUUCCGAGCGGAUCAAAUUCCCUUUCCAAUACCACUUCCGAAGCUUUUGGCAAUGACUCAAACAAUGGUGGCGGGCAGGAACUCAAUAGUGAUGGUGGUCGAUCGAAAAUCGUUGAACAAAAGGUGAAGGAAAUGUGGUUGGCUGAUCACUUAUUAGAUCAGCAUGUUGCUGAGCUCUUUUCAGCGCCCAAAUUGCGUGAAGAUGUAUGGUAUGACUUCCUGUUAGAUGAUACCAUACCAAUCACUCGAAAAUCCCGAUUGUUGAUUGUAAAGUUUUGUGGUGGUGCUAGUACCACUAGGCAGUAGAUGAUGAUGCUUGCCAAGGAUGCUGCUGCUGAUGCUUGGUUGGGAUGUUUCUGCUCAGAUGCUGCUGCUGCUGAUGUUAUAUGUAUUUUAUGAGGAUUUUUUUUUAAUGCGGAUUUGUUUGAUGCUAAUGUUAUAUGUAUUUUAUGAGGAUUUUUUUAAUGCGGAUUUGUUUGAUGCUGAUGUUAUGGAUUUGUUUUAUGAAGAUUUGUUUAAUGCGGAUUUUGCCAAGGAUUUUUUUUUUUAUGAGGAUUUUAUGUAGAAAGCACAAGGUGGAACUCAAUUCACAGCUUGUCUCUGAGCUUUA